AUUGAACGCUGGCGGCAGGCCUAACACAUGCAAGUCGAGCGGAUGAAGGGAGCCUGCUCCCCGAUCCAGCGGCGGACGGGUGGGAAAUGCCUAGGAACCUGCCCUGCAGUGGGGGAUAACGUCCGGAAACGGGCGAUAAUACCGCAUAAACUCAGACGGACUAAGGGGGGGAUCUGUGGACCUCGCGCCUUCAGGUGAGCCUAGGUCGCUUUAGCUAGUUUGUGGGGUAAAGGGCUACCAAAGCGACGAUCCGUAACUGGUCUGAGAGGAUGAUCAGUCACACUGGAACGGAGACACGGUCCAGACUCCUACGGGAGGCAGCAGUGGGGAAUAUUGGACAAUGGGCGAAAGCCUGAUCCAGCCAUGCCGCGUGUGUGAAGAAGGACUUCGGAUUGUAAAGCACUUUUAGUUGGAAGGAAAAGCAGUAAGUUAAUACCUUGCUGUUUUGACGGUACCAACAGAAUAAGCACCGGCUAACUUCGUG
RNAcentral lists this ribosomal RNA (484 nucleotides) under uncultured bacterium. RNAcentral's name for it is "partial 16S ribosomal RNA". It matches the Rfam family "Bacterial small subunit ribosomal RNA", at positions 30 to 507 of the family's 1533-position model. The record is from RNAcentral.